Molecule: ribosomal RNA, 465 nt
Filed under: uncultured bacterium
Lineage: Bacteria
Description: partial 16S ribosomal RNA
Rfam family: Bacterial small subunit ribosomal RNA
Source: RNAcentral
GAUGAACGCUGGCGGCGUGCCUAAUACAUGCAAGUCGAGCGGAGAAUUGUUGAUUGCAACAAUUCUUCGCGGCGGACGGGCGAGUAACACGUGGGUAAACUGCCCUAAACAAAGGGAUAACAAUGAUAAAUCAUUGCUAAUACCGUAUAAGCAUACACUAUCGCAUGAUAGAGUAAGAAAAGAGUGAUCGGUUUAGGAGGGGCACGCGUCGGAUCAGCUAGAUGGAGAGGUAACGGGUCACCAAGGCGACGAGCAGGAGCCGACCGGAGAGGGUGAUCGGCCACAUUUGGACUGAGACACGGCCCAAGCGCCUACGGGAGGCAGCAGUGGGGAAUAUUGCACAAAGGAGGAAUCUCUGAUGCAGCAACGCCGCGUGAAGGAAGAAGGUUUUCGGAUCGUAAAAAUCUAUCUACAGGGAAGAAAAAAAUGACGGUACCUGAGUAAGAAGCCCCGGCUAACUACGUG